RNAcentral lists this ribosomal RNA (473 nucleotides) under uncultured bacterium. Its description in RNAcentral is "partial 16S ribosomal RNA". It matches the Rfam family "Bacterial small subunit ribosomal RNA", at positions 28 to 507 of the family's 1533-position model. The record is from RNAcentral.
GGUGAACGCUGGCGGCGUGCCUAAGACAUGCAAGUCGAGCGGGCCGCGGGGUUUUACUCCGUGGUCAGCGGCGGACGGGUGAGUAACGCGUGGGUGACCUACCCGGAAGAGGGGGACAACCCGGGGAAACUCGGGCUAAUCCCCCAUGUGGACCCGCCCCUUGGGGUGUGUCCAAAGGGCUUUGCCCGCUUCCGGAUGGGCCCGCGUCCCAUCAGCUAGUUGGUGGGGUAAUGGCCCACCAAGGCGACGACGGGUAGCCGGCCUGAGAGGGUGGCCGGCCACAGGGGCCCUGAGACACGGGGCCCACUCCUACGGGGGGCAGCAGGUAGGAAUCUUCCGCAAUGGGCGCAAGCCUGACGGAGCGACGCCGCUUGGAGGAAGAAGCCCUGCGGGGUGUAAACUCCUGAACCCGGGACGAAACCCCCGACGAGGGGACUGACGGGACCGGGGUAAUAGCGCCGGCCAACUCCGUG